AUCGCUUUUCGGCCUGUUGGCUAAAAUCAAGUGUAGUAUCUGUUCUUAUCGGCUCGGUUAUUCACUUGGACCAUAUAUCCCAAAUGCCCUUCGGCUCUGUGUAUUUUUUGUAGGAUGAAGCUUU
Molecule: small nuclear RNA, 124 nt
Filed under: Thelohanellus kitauei
Lineage: Eukaryota; Metazoa; Cnidaria; Myxozoa; Bivalvulida; Myxobolidae
Description: U2 spliceosomal RNA
Rfam family: U2 spliceosomal RNA
About the family: U2 is a small nuclear RNA (snRNA) component of the spliceosome (involved in pre-mRNA splicing).
Source: RNAcentral